This 305-nucleotide long non-coding RNA is filed under the name Nicotiana benthamiana. RNAcentral's name for it is "long non-coding RNA (NBEN_LNC015164)". The record is from RNAcentral. Lineage: Eukaryota; Viridiplantae; Streptophyta; Magnoliopsida; Solanales; Solanaceae.
UCUCGUGACUAUCUUGCUAGUUUUGAAGCUCGGUUAGCUAAACUUGAGAUAGCUAUGGCGGAUACAAAAGAGAGGUUGGAUCGCACGGAGCAAACAGUAGAAGAGUACGUCGAGAAGGUCGAUACCUCGUUGGACACUUUCCAAGAAAGGAUUUAUGCUGCAGGGGCAGAGAUAGCCAACGAGAACUGCUUGUUUCAAGCCAAGGUGUAUCAAGCCUUGUCAGAUUUGAGGCAGGACAUUGAUGAAGCUAAGUCAAGCCUAGAGGCGUCCAAGGCUGCCGUAGAAGAAACCAGGGCCGACUGGGC